RNAcentral lists this small RNA (563 nucleotides) under Pongo abelii (Sumatran orangutan). RNAcentral's name for it is "retained intron". Lineage: Eukaryota; Metazoa; Chordata; Mammalia; Primates; Hominidae. The record is from RNAcentral.
UCUACAGACGUCUGGGCCAGGGGGUUGGACGUCCCUCAGGUGUCCCUCAUCAUUAACUACGAUCUCCCCAAUAACAGAGAAUUAUACAUACACAGGUAGGGUGCAAGCGCUCAUUGGCUUCACUUCUGUGACACAUUUACUAAAUCUUGAUUGCUGUAUAUACUAACUGUAAUAUUGUUUUAUUCCUGAAGAAUUGGGAGAUCAGGUCGAUAUGGCCGGAAGGGUGUGGCCAUUAACUUUGUAAAGAAUGACGACAUCCGCAUCCUCAGAGAUAUCGAGCAGUACUAUUCCACUCAGAUUGAUGAGAUGCCUAUGAACGUUGCUGAUCUGAUCUGAAGCAGCAGCUCAAUGGGAUGAAUGGAGACUGCUCACCUGCUCUGUACUCCUGUUUGGAAGUAUUUAGAUCCAGCUUGUAUUUAAUGGGGUUUAUAUGGACUUUCUUCUCAUAAAUGGCCUCCCGUCUCCCUUCCUUUGAAGAGGAUAUGGGGAUUCUGCUUUCUUUUCUUAUUUACAUGUAAAUAAGACAUUGUUCUAAGUCUUUUUCAUUAAAAAUUUAAAACUUU